RNA transcript from Rosa rugosa (rugosa rose), 3615 nucleotides. It is a transcript of the gene named pentatricopeptide repeat-containing protein At4g21300, with no coding region annotated. The transcript has 4 exons. NCBI's taxonomy places the organism in Eukaryota, Viridiplantae, Streptophyta, Magnoliopsida, Rosales, Rosaceae. The record is from RefSeq and is a predicted model, not a curated record.
UUCUCUUAACAAAGAAAAAAAGCACUAGUCGUUGGCCUCAUCAGCGUGACACUGGCUGUGGCGGUGGGGCUAAUUAAAUUUCCCGUUUUCCGGCCGGGUCUGCUGCGGGUUUCUCCCAUUACCCAAAUGGGUCGAUAUCUUAUUUCCAGAACCCUUUAACAGCUUUCCUCUGCAACCUCUUCUUCCUCCACCACACCCACACAAGUUCCAAGCUCUUUCCUUUGGCUCUCUCUGCUUCCUUCCUCAGAUUUUGGAUUAAGCAUUUGAUACACAAUUCAUUUACUGUAAAAAGAGAUGUACAGGAGGAUGUUAUGUUCAUUUUAUAGACCCUUUACACCACAAAACUCCAAGUCCAUACAUACAAACGCCAACUACUUCCUCAACUUGGAAGCAGCUUUGGCAACCCAGUUUGAUACUAUGUUGCAAGCAUGCAGUGACCAUUCUCUUAUUCAACAAGGUAGACAAGUUCAUUCACAUGCUAUUUGCACUGGGCUUAUCGAAAAUAGUCUUGUCGCCGCAAAGCUGCUUGGCAUGUAUUUCCAUUGUGCUAGUGUUGUGGAUGCCAAGAACGUGUUUUAUCAGCUUGAUUUAAAGUAUAGAUUUCCCUGGAACUGUAUGAUUAGAGGGUUUAGUAUAAUGGGCCGCUUCGAUUUUGCCAUGCUAUUUUACUUUAAGAUGUUGGCUGCUGGAGUUUCACCUGACAAGUACACUUUUCCCAGUGUAAUCAAGGCUUGUGGUGGUUUGAAUAAUGUGAGAUUGGGUAAAGCAGUGCAUGAUUCAAUGCAGUUCAUGGGUUUUGAGGUGGAUAUAUACGCCGGUAGUUCUUUACUUCAAUUGUAUGUCAACAAUGGAUGUAUCCAUGAUGCACGCCGCUUGUUUGAUAAAAUGUCCCACAAAGAUUGUGUUUCAUGGAAUGUCCUGCUUCAUGGAUAUGUUAAAAAGGGGGAAUUAAGUAAUGCUGUUGGUAUAUUCAUGGAAAUGAGAAGUAGUGAAAUUAAGGCCAAUGCAGUGACAUUUUCUUGCAUUUUGUCUGUUUGUGCCUCAGAAGCAAUGAUUGGUUUUGGUACUCAACUUCAUGGGUUAGUUGUUGCUUAUGGUCUGGAGUCGCAUUUUUCAGUGGCUAAUACUUUGAUAGCAGUCUACUCUAAAUGUCAUUGCUUGUCUGACGCUCGUACGUUGUUUGAUAUGAUGCCACGAACUGAUUUAGUGAGAUGGAAUGGGAUGAUAUCUGGUUAUAUACAAAAUGGUUUUAUGAGUGAGGCUUCACAUUUGUUUAAAGAGAUGAUAUCUGCUGGUGUCAAACCUAACUCCAUCACAUUGGCAAGUUUUCUUCCGUCGGUUGCUCAACCGGCUAACCUCAAGCAAGCUAAAGAAAUCCACGGUUACAUUAUUAGACAUUGUGUACCUUUUGAUGUGUAUUUGAAAAGUGCACUUAUCGAUGUAUACUCCAAGUGCAGAAGUGUGGAGAUGGCACGCAAUAUUUUCAACCAAAGUGCCAGAACUGAUGUCGUGAUGUGCACUGCUAUGGUUUCAGGGCUUGUCCUUAAUGGGAUGAACACUGAUGCAUUGGAAAUUUUUAGAUGGAUGCUUAGAGAGAAAUUGAGGCCGAAUACUCUCACCAUGGCAAGUGUUCUUCCAGCUUGUGCUGGUCUAGCUGCUUUGAAAUUGGGAAAGGAAUUGCAUGGCAAUAUCCUGAAGCACGGGCUUGAUAAAAGCUUUCAUGUGGGUAGUGCCCUUACUGGCAUGUAUGCAAAAUCUGGAAGGCUGGAUCUUGCUCAUCAAGUUUUCCAAAGACUGUCAGAAAGAGAUGCGAUCUGUUGGAACUCGAUGUUAACAAGCUAUUCUCAAAAUGGUAAACCAGAAGAGGCCAUUGAUCUAUUUCGUCAAAUGGGGAUGGGAGGUGUAAAGUAUGACUGUGUAAGCAUUUCAGCUGCACUUUCUGCUUCUGCAAACUUACCAGCACUUCAUUAUGGGAAAGAGAUUCAUGGUUUCAUUACUAAAAGUGAAUUUAGCUCUGAUAUUUUUGCCGAGAGUGCACUCAUAGACAUGUAUGCCAAAUGUGGAAACUUAGCUCUUGCUCGCCGUGUAUUUGACUUAAUGGAAGAGAAAAAUGAAGUUUCAUGGAACAGCAUUAUUUCUGCUUAUGGUUAUCACGGUCGCCUUAAGGACUCUCUUGUUCUGUUCCGUGAUAUGCUUGAUAAUGGAAUCCUACCUGAUCAUGUCACCUUUCUUGGUGUGUUAUCUGCUUGUGUCCAUGCAGGCCAAGUUGAUGAUGGAAUUCUCUACUUCCGUUGCAUGACUGAGGAAUAUGGGAUCCCAGCUUGGUCAGAGCAUUAUGCCCUCAUGGUAGAUCUACUUGGGCGUGCUGGACGGUUACACGAAGCAUUUGAAACAAUAAAGAGCAUGCCAUUCUCCCCAGGUUCUGGUGUCUGGGGAACAUUGCUUGGAGCAUGUCGGGUACAUGGCAAUAUUGAGCUUGCUGAAGAAGCAUCAAGACAUCUUUUUGACCUGGAACCACACAAUUCUGGCUAUUAUAUGUUACUCGCAAAUAUAUAUGCUGAUGCUGGACAAUGGGAGAAUGUGCGUAAGGUUCGAAAUUUGAUGAACGAAAGAGGAGUUCAGAAAAUUCCUGGGUACAGUUGGAUCGAGGUCAACAACAAGACUCAUGUAUUUGUUGCAGCAGACAGAAGUCACCCGCAAUCUGCUAAAUUACAUUCACUGCUCAACAUUCUUCUUCUAGAGCUGAGAAAAGAGGGUUAUAAUCCUCAACCUUACCUUCCAAUGCACCCACAGACAAAGGGUAUUUGAUAAUCUGAAGGGUUUGGAGGGAAAAAAAAAAGAAAAAGAGGAAGCAUGUGGGGUUGGAAAAGAGAGAUGGAGGUGCAGAUGGGUCGAGCAGCAAUUUUGGAGGAGGCUGCAAUUGUAAGUUACUUUUACCAUGUCAUAACUGAAAACUUACACAUUGAGUUUCAUAACUAAGGUUUAUAAUCUAUGAAUUAAUGACAGGUCCUCUCUACCCUUAGCCCAUUUGGAUCCCAAAGCUUCCAUCUUUAUUAUAUUUUUUCUUCUUCUUUCAUGGCCUUUCCAAAAUGCUGGUUUUGAUGCUUUUGCUGUGUUGUUGUGAUUUCUGAUUCAUGGGUUUGUUUCUGGGUUGUUCUUGUUUGCUUUGUUUUGGGUGCGGAAGCAAGCCAUAUAUGAGUUGUGGAAUACUGGAAUGAGUGAAUGAUCAUCCUUUGUGGAUAGAAUUCAGACUUGCAGGAGUGGAACCUCAUAUUCCAUGCAACAGCCCUAGUAUAUAUCCCCAUAAUGAAUCAUAACUAAUGGCAGUGAGAGGAAUCAUAAUUUAACUUCUGACCAGCUUUUUGGGUAUUACAAGGACUCAAGGAGGUGUUCAAGCAGACAAUGCUCAAUCAAGAAAUGAUAUCCCAGCAGGCAACCUGUCUAUGUUUUUAGCUUUAUAUAUGAACGAUUAGAUUUCACUUGAUGUCCUUUGAUGGAUUAAAGAUGGGGGUUUUGUCCCUUUACACCAAUUUUAGAGAUUUUUUUCCCCCUUACACCAUUCACUUACUGUUUUCCCACUAACCCAUAAUAACUCUUAUAAGUUGUUCCCUAAUA